CCUACGGGUGGCAGCAGUCGGGAAUAUUGGGCAAUGGGCGAAAGCCUGACCCAGCAACGCCGCGUGAAGGAUGAAGGUCUUCGGAUUGUAAACUUCUUUUAGCUGGGAAGAAAGACCACUUUUUAAUAGAAAGUGGAGAUGACAGUACUAGCAGAAUAAGCACCGGCUAACUUCGUGCCAGCAGCCGCGGUAAUACGAAGGGUGCAAGCGUUAUUCGGAAUAAUUGGGCGUAAAGGGAAUGUAGGUGGUUUAUUAAGUCAGUUGUUUAAUUCCCCGGCUUAACUGGGGCUCUGCAAUUGAAACUGGUAGACUAGAGGUUGGAAGAGGCAAGUAGAAUUCCAGGAGUAGCGGUAAAAUGCGUAGAUCUCUGGAGGAAUACCAAUGGCGAAGGCAGCUUGCUGGUCCAUACCUGACACUGAUAUUCGAAAGCGUGGGGAGCAAACAGGAUUAGAUACCCCGGUAGUC
This 465-nucleotide ribosomal RNA is filed under the name uncultured bacterium. Its description in RNAcentral is "bacterial SSU rRNA". It matches the Rfam family "Bacterial small subunit ribosomal RNA", at positions 338 to 795 of the family's 1533-position model. The record is from RNAcentral.